UAGAGUCGCUUUGGGUUUAGUUGUUUCUUGAAUUCAAUUAGAUCAAGUCAAGUUAAGGGGUCAGGUAGCCACCUAUAAAUAGAUGUGGUGAGCACCUAUUUCAGUAUGCAAAAAUUAAUUGAAAGGCUUUUGCCCUAGCUCUCUUCCCUUCUCUCUUCUCUUCUUGCGACGCCUUCCCCCUCUCCCUAGGCUGCCGUCCAAGGCCGCCGCCCCCUCCUUCAUCCGGCUGCACCACCUCUGUCCCGAGAGACCAGCCACCUUCUCCCUCUUCUUCCUCUCCUCCUUGAUCCC
This 291-nucleotide long non-coding RNA is filed under the name Phoenix dactylifera (date palm). Its description in RNAcentral is "long non-coding RNA (PDAC_LNC013404)". Lineage: Eukaryota; Viridiplantae; Streptophyta; Magnoliopsida; Arecales; Arecaceae. The record is from RNAcentral.